Molecule: ribosomal RNA, 87 nt
Filed under: uncultured bacterium
Lineage: Bacteria
Description: partial 16S ribosomal RNA
Source: RNAcentral
CUCCUGUCAGCAGGGAAAAAGACGACUUGACCUCAUACGUCAGGGAGUUGAUUGUACCUGCAGAGGAAGCCCCGGCUAACUCUGUGC